GCAGUGGGGAAUAUUGGACAAUGGGCGAAAGCCUGAUCCAGCCAUGCCGCGUGUGUGAAGAAGGUCUUCGGAUUGUAAAGCACUUUAAGUUGGGAGGAAGGGCAGUAAGUUAAUACCUUGCUGUUUUGACGUUACCAACAGAAUAAGCACCGGCUAACUUCGUGCCAGCAGCCGCGGUAAUACGAAGGGUGCAAGCGUUAAUCGGAAUUACUGGGCGUAAAGCGCGCGUAGGUGGUUCGUUAAGUUGGAUGUGAAAGCCCCGGGCUCAACCUGGGAACUGCAUCCAAAACUGGCGAGCUAGAGUAUGGCAGAGGGUGGUGGAAUUUCCUGUGUAGCGGUGAAAUGCGUAGAUAUAGGAAGGAACACCAGUGGCGAAGGCGACCACCUGGGCUAAUACUGACACUGAGGUGCGAAAGCGUGGGGAGCAAACAGGAUUAGAUACCCCGGUAGUCC
Molecule: ribosomal RNA, 453 nt
Filed under: uncultured Gammaproteobacteria bacterium
Lineage: Bacteria; Pseudomonadati; Pseudomonadota; Gammaproteobacteria
Description: bacterial SSU rRNA
Rfam family: Bacterial small subunit ribosomal RNA
Source: RNAcentral